RNAcentral lists this non-coding RNA (21 nucleotides) under Caenorhabditis elegans. Lineage: Eukaryota; Metazoa; Nematoda; Chromadorea; Rhabditida; Rhabditidae. The record is from RNAcentral.
UUCUGACACGACAUUUACGAG